RNAcentral lists this ribosomal RNA (253 nucleotides) under uncultured bacterium. Its description in RNAcentral is "partial 16S ribosomal RNA". It matches the Rfam family "Bacterial small subunit ribosomal RNA", at positions 524 to 776 of the family's 1533-position model. The record is from RNAcentral.
UACGGAGGGUGCGAGCGUUAUCCGGAUUUAUUGGGUUUAAAGGGUCCGUAGGCGGUUUAAUCAGUCAGUGGUGAAAUCUUAUAGCUCAACUAUAAAACUGCCAUUGAUACUGUUAAACUUGAGUGAGCUUGAAGUGGCUGGAAUGUGUAGUGUAGCGGUGAAAUGCAUAGAUAUUACACAGAACCCCGAUUGCGAAGGCAGGUCACUAAGACUCAACUGACGCUGAUGGACGAAAGCGUGGGUAGCGAACAGG